UUGAACGCUGGCGGCCUGCCUUACACAUGCCAGUCGAACGGCAGCACGGGUGCUUGCACCUGGUGGCGAGUGGCGAACGGGUGAGUAAUACAUCGGAACAUGUCCUGUAGUGGGGGAUAGCCCGGCGAAAGCCGGAUUAAUACCGCAUACGAUCCACGGAUGAAAGCGGGGGACCUUCGGGCCUCGCGCUAUAGGGUUGGCCGAUGGCUGUUUAGCUAGUUGGUGGGGUAAAGGCCUACCAAGGCGACGAUCAGUAGCUGGUCUGAGAGGACGACCAGCCACACUGGGACUGAGACACGGCCCAGACUCCUACGGGAGGCAGCAGUGGGGAAUUUUGGACAAUGGGCGAAAGCCUGAUCCAGCAAUGCCGCGUGUGUGAAGAAGGCCUUCGGGUUGUAAAGCACUUUUGUCCGGAAAGAAAUCCUUGACUCUAAUACAGUCGGGGGAUGACGGUACCGGAAGAAUAAGCACCGGCUAACUACGUG
This 485-nucleotide ribosomal RNA is filed under the name uncultured bacterium. RNAcentral describes it as "partial 16S ribosomal RNA". It matches the Rfam family "Bacterial small subunit ribosomal RNA", at positions 30 to 507 of the family's 1533-position model. The record is from RNAcentral.